RNAcentral lists this ribosomal RNA (435 nucleotides) under uncultured bacterium. RNAcentral's name for it is "partial 16S ribosomal RNA". It matches the Rfam family "Bacterial small subunit ribosomal RNA", at positions 28 to 507 of the family's 1533-position model. The record is from RNAcentral.
GAUGAACGCUGGCGGUAUGCUUAACACACGCAAGUCGAACGGACUCUUCGGAGUUAGUGGCGGACGGGUGAGUAACGCGUGAGAAUCUGGCUUUGGGUUCGGGACAACCACUGGAAACGGUGGCUAAUACCGGAUGUGCCGAGAGGUAAAAGAGAAAUUGCCUGAAGAUGAGCUCGCGUCUGAUUAGCUAGUUGGUGAGGUAAAGGCGCACCAAGGCAGCGAUCAGUAGCUGGUCUGAGAGGAUGACCAGCCACACUGGGACUGAGACACGGCCCAGACUCCUACGGGAGGCAGCAGUGGGGAAUUUUCCGAAAUGGGCGAAAGCCUGACGGAGCAAUACCGCGUGAGGGAAGAAGGCUCUUGGGUUGUAAACCUCUUUUCUUAGGGAAGAACAAAAUGACGGUACCUAAGGAAUCAGCAUCGGCUAACUCCGUG